CGGGUGAGUAACACGUGAGCAACCUGCCCCGAAGUCUGGGAUAACACCGGGAAACCGGUGCUAAUACCGGAUGUCUUCAUCGAGUCACCUGGCUUGAUGAAGAAAGAUUUAUCGCUUCGGGAGGGGCUCGCGGCCUAUCAGCUUGUUGGUGGGGUAACGGCCCACCAAGGCUUCGACGGGUAGCUGGUCUGAGAGGACGACCAGCCACACUGGGACUGAGACACGGCCCAG
Molecule: ribosomal RNA, 231 nt
Filed under: uncultured bacterium
Lineage: Bacteria
Description: partial 16S ribosomal RNA
Rfam family: Bacterial small subunit ribosomal RNA
Source: RNAcentral